This 765-nucleotide ribosomal RNA is filed under the name Streptococcus anginosus. Its description in RNAcentral is "bacterial SSU rRNA". It matches the Rfam family "Bacterial small subunit ribosomal RNA", at positions 28 to 776 of the family's 1533-position model. The record is from RNAcentral. Lineage: Bacteria; Bacillati; Bacillota; Bacilli; Lactobacillales; Streptococcaceae.
GACGAACGCUGGCGGCGUGCCUAAUACAUGCAAGUAGAACGCUGAAGAGAGGAGCUUGCUCUUCUUGGAUGAGUUGCGAACGGGUGAGUAACGCGUAGGUAACCUGCCUAUUAGAGGGGGAUAACUAUUGGAAACGAUAGCUAAUACCGCAUAACAGUAUGUAACACAUGUUAGAUGCUUGAAAGAUGCAAUUGCAUCGCUAGUAGAUGGACCUGCGUUGUAUUAGCUAGUAGGUAGGGUAAAGGCCUACCUAGGCAACGAUACAUAGCCGACCUGAGAGGGUGAUCGGCCACACUGGGACUGAGACACGGCCCAGACUCCUACGGGAGGCAGCAGUAGGGAAUCUUCGGCAAUGGGGGGAACCCUGACCGAGCAACGCCGCGUGAGUGAAGAAGGUUUUCGGAUCGUAAAGCUCUGUUGUUAAGGAAGAACGAGUGUGAGAAUGGAAAGUUCAUACUGUGACGGUACUUAACCAGAAAGGGACGGCUAACUACGUGCCAGCAGCCGCGGUAAUACGUAGGUCCCGAGCGUUGUCCGGAUUUAUUGGGCGUAAAGCGAGCGCAGGCGGUUUGAUAAGUCUGAAGUUAAAGGCUGUGGCUCAACCAUAGUUCGCUUUGGAAACUGUCAAACUUGAGUGCAGAAGGGGAGAGUGGAAUUCCAUGUGUAGCGGUGAAAUGCGUAGAUAUAUGGAGGAACACCGGUGGCGAAAGCGGCUCUCUGGUCUGUAACUGACGCUGAGGCUCGAAAGCGUGGGGAGCGAACAGG